Molecule: RNA transcript, 8093 nt
Organism: Ahaetulla prasina
Lineage: Eukaryota; Metazoa; Chordata; Lepidosauria; Squamata; Colubridae
Gene: PIAS2
Gene name: protein inhibitor of activated STAT 2
Exons: 2
Source: RefSeq, a predicted model, not a curated record
AUAGAUGGAUAGUUGGAUCAAAUUAUAUAUUUCAUUUCCUAAAUUUUUAGUUUAGAAACCAAGUUUAGCCAGGCGAGGGUCUUCAGGGGCCAUCAUCACAACUGGUAGAUCAGCUUGGAUGAAGCUUCCCAGUUUACCAGUAGAAGAAAAGACAGAUGGUCCUUGACUUAAGGCCACAAAUGAGCCCUACAUUUCCGUUGCUAAGUGAGACAUUUGUUCAGUGAGUUUUGCCCCAUUUUACAACUUUUCUUGACAGUCAUUAAGUGAAUCAGUGCAGUGGUUCAGUUAGUCACCCUGUUAAGUGAAUCUAGUUCCCCCAUUAACGUUGCCUGUCAGAAGGGCGCAAAAGGUGAUCACGUGUCCCCAGGACACUGCGACCGUCAUAAAUAUGAGUGAGUUGCCAAGUGUCUUAAUUUUAAUCGUGUGACCACGGGGAUGCUGCAACAGUCAUAAGUGUGAAAAAUGAUCAUAAGUCACUUUUUUCAGUGCCCGUAACUUCGGACGGUCACUAAACAAACUUUUGUAAGUCGAGGACUACCUGUGUUUGUAGCUCGGGGUUGAACUGCGAGCUCCUUGGUGCUCUCUGAGCCUGGUUGUUUCCUUGCAGAUGUUUCAUGACCAAAACUAGAGUAACAUCAUCUGUGAAUCCUUAUCAUCCCUGAUGAUGCCACCUACUUGGGUAAUGAAAUGUCUGCGAGAAAACAAGCAAGUUCAGAGAGCACCAAAGACCCCACAGCUUCUUAAGUUUUAUAGUGGGGUCUUAACACCUGCUAUAUUUUCCUGUAUGAGAACUCCAGACAUGGGUAUCACUCUAGUCUUCGGGGUUUAUGGACUGGGUUCAAACUUGUAGAGACGCCCCCUUUGCAGAAACACUCCCACUUUCAACUCAGUCCUGAGCUCAUGAGGAACGUUCUGGGUUUGCUCGUGUGUGUUUUGAAUUUGGCUGGAGUUUGGAGUUUGAUUUGUGCUUUGUUUUCUUUGGAUUCUCUUCAGAAUUGAAGCAGCUGAAUGAGUAAAUUCAGCUAUGUUUAUCUAGGCGUUUGAUGCCUUUAAUUACAUGGGAUUCCUUUGCUGAGGGAUUGUGUGUGUGUGUGGGGGGGGAGGCUAUCAGUUGGAGAUCAGCUGGGGAGCUGCACACAAUAGCACUGCAAUUAAAGGACAGUUUCCUUUUUUGUCUCCAUUUUAACCUGCUGAAUCAGGCAGUGGACUCUUGAUUGGAUUUGGAGCACUUGGUGGAAAGUGCGAGGGAGAUUUAAAUUGAGCUGCUGCGCCCACGUGGUUGCCCUUUCACAGGGAGAUUCAGAGCCAUGGGAGGAGGCCUGGGAGUAGAAUGGCCUCUACUUUAUUUGGGUUACCCUAUUAGACUCAAAAUUGUGAGUAUGGGGUGUUUUUUUUUUGUUUUGUUUUGUUUUUUGCUGGAAUAUCCACUAAUUGUGAGGGAAGGACCAAGGGCUUGAGAGCCAUAUUGGUAGCCACCCUGGGCUAGCCGGUGUGGCGGCCAUUUUGAGGGCUGGCUGGGCUAGCAAGUAUAUGGAAAAGAGGCUAUCAUAGGGCUCAGUUCUCGGCCCUCCAGCACAGCAUCGGCCUUUGGAGUGUGGCGUGAGGGGCCCGGAGCCUGGCCUGGGGCCGGGGCCAAAAGAAAACACUGCAAAAAAAGAGAGAGAGAAAAGAGGCCUGAUUUAGCCUGAAGUAGCCGGUUCCAGGCUGCAUGGCUUGAGAGAUUUUUAGCUCAGUGCAGGUGAUCUCGACCUGCAGAGAGGGAGUGCCAGCAACUUAGGGUGUUGACCCUUGUAAUUCUGCUGGGUUCUACGUAUUGUUGCUGGCUAUUGAUGUAUGUACAUAUACAUUUAUAUUUAUUAUAUGAAAUUGGUAAUAAUAAUAAUAAUAAUAAUAAUAAUAAUAAUAAUAAUAAUAAUAAUAAUAAUAAUAAUAAUAAUAAUAAUAAUAAUAAUAAUAAUAGAAAUUUAAAAAAAGAAUGGAAAUAGAUGAAUCUCAAACAGGAUUAUUAUGUGAAGGUCCUAAGAAAAUGCUGAUCAGGAUUACAAAAAGAGAGAGAGAGAGAGAGAGAGAAAUUUCAUGGAACUAUGAAAUGUGCUUACUUCUAUGUAUAUUUAUUUCUAUAUGUGUUCUAGAGAUAUGGCGUCGGACGCUUCCCUUAGUGACCAGAUGGAGCUCAAUGAUGCUUCUCAAUCUCAGGGAGCUUCCACCAAAGGCUCGAAGAGCCGUUAUCAUAAGACAAGGAAUGGCAGUUUGGAAGCGGCUGCAAAACUCAGAGCAAAAGCUUUGGCGCUUAAACGGGCUUCUAAGGUGCAGGAGAAGGCGGAAAAACGCCGUCAAAAGGUGCUGGAAAAACAGGUACAGGGGAACAUCAAGGAGGCUGCUAAGUCCAGAUCUAUUCGGGAUCAGGAGCAGUCUAUGGAAAAGGACCCAGCAGUGGAACCAGGGCCUUCUACCAGUUUUCAGACCAGGGCUCUGUUGCCCGGGUCAUCAGGGGGCGACUCCAGUAAAGGAAGGGCCAGUUCUACACCUGUCACCUUGGUAGCAACACAGGGGAAUAGGCAAACCACAGGCCCGGAGACAGAAAUUCCUGAGUUAGUGCAGCAAUGGAUCGCGGAGGCGGUUCAACGGGAGCUUGAGGCCAGCAAACGCCUCAAUAGGCAAUCUGUCCUUAGGGCAGAAGCCCAGUCACAGGAUAAGGGUCAGGUAGAAGAGGCGCCAGCAGAUGAACAUGUGGGGUCGCGUUCUGACAGUUCUGAUUCGUCCUCAGAGGCGGAGAGUUCCGGGUCCAUGGAGGAGGACCAAUGGGAAAAGGAAUUAUCUGAGGAGGAAGAUCUCAUGCCGGACCAGCCCAUGUUUAAAGGGCUGUUCAAACCUCAUCUUUUUAAACCCUUGUUGAGUAAAGCUAAGGCGGCUACUAAACAGAGGGUCUCAUGGGAGCAAGGGGGCGCCCGCCCAGAGCAGGAUCCUGUGGACCUGUGGUUUUCUGAACCAACGGAGACGAAGACGGUUCCUGCUCCUCAAUUAUUCUUGGAGAUGAUUAGGAAACAGUGGGAAGCCCCGGGCGUAUUCCCGAACAUGUCCUCCCAUGAGAGACGGUUUUUUAACACGGCUCCUGACCUGAUGGAACUCUUGAGAGUGCCUGAGGUGGAUGAGCCUGUUUUGGCCCUGGCUUCCUCUUCGGCCACCUUGGUUGAACCAGAGAAAGUUUUGAAGCCAGAGGAUAGGAAGUUGGAGCAGGCCCUCAAGAGGGCUCAUCAGGCGGCUGCCUGGGGUAUAAGGGCGGCCACAGCAGCAUCCUUUUUCACCAGGGCUGCACUCCUGUGGCUCAAACAAUUGCAGGAGAGGGUGCCAGUGACUGAUCAGAGGGCGCAUCAGGAUUUCAACAAGAUAGUGGCGGCUGUGGAAUACACGGCUGAUGCUACUAUGUCCUCAGCAAAAUUCGGGGCAAGGUCGAUUGCAUCUUCGGUCACCGCACGAAGGCUUCUUUGGUUAAAGAAUUGGCAGGCAGACACAAAGCGCAGAUGGCGAUUGGCCUCUGUGCCAUUUAAGGGUGCAAAGUUGUUUGGUGAGGCUUUGGAGCCCCUGUUGACGGAACCUAAGGAGAGGAAGAAGGUGUUGCCAGCCUUGUCAAGGAGAGGGGAUACCAAAUUUCCCUCCUCCUUUCGGAGGUCUUAUUUUCGCCCCUAUUGGGGGUCGGCCUUUGGCAGAUAUCAGAGAGGUUUUCAGGCACAGGGAGGCCAGUCUGGCCACUAUUAUCAGUCAGGGGAGGGAUCCUCUGACGGGCAGGUCCCGCAGUCAGUCACGGCGUCCUUUUCAUGGGAGGGGCAACAGCUCCUUUCACAGGCACCGCUGAUGGCAGGUAUCAGGCUCCCAUUGGUGGUUGUCUAGGGCUGUUCGCCGACCAGUGGGAGAAAACGACCUCCGAUUUAUGGAUAAGGGAGACCAUCUCAUCAGGUCUCUCACUAGAAUUUCUUGCACCCCCCACCCCCGAAGGUCUUGUUUCGUUGUCUCAGGUCUCGAGAUGCCGCAAAAAGAGAGAUCAUGGACAUCGCGGUUCGGCACUUGCUGGACAUCGGAGGUGGAGCCCGUUCCAGUUCACAAACAAUGGAGCGGUUAUUACUCAAUAUUGUUCAUCACCCAGAAGACCUCGGGGGGGGGGGCGGUGACCGAUUCUCAACCUGAAAGGCCUAAACAGGUAUUUGAAGUAUCGGAGGUUCAAGAUGCACUCCCUUCGGUCAAUCCUGGUGAAUGUCUGGCAGGGAGACUUCUUGACCUCCAUAGACCUUACGGAGGCAUACCAUCAUGUUCCGAUAAAUCAGAAACACAGAAGGUUCUUGAGGUUCUACUACGACGGCAAGCAUCUGCAGUACCGAGUGCUUCCGUUCGGGCUCACCUCAGCCCUAGGGUUUUCACGAAGAUCCUGGAGGCAUUAGGAGCACUUCUCAGGGCUCGUCCAAUAUGGAUUCAAGCCUACCUGGACGACAUUUUGGUGCAGUCAGUCUCUCACAGGCAUGCAGUAGAGGAUUUGAGGGACACAGUGCUUUGUCUGUAGGCUCAUGGCUUUUCCAUCAACAUGGGAAAGAGUCACCUCAUUCCCACAAAUCUGCUGUUACACCUAGGGGCGGUGAUAGAUAAGCUGAAGGGUCAGGUGUUCCUGUCUCCAGACAUGCUUCAGAGCAUCAGGGACCUGGUUGCUCAGAUUCGCUUGCAGAGGGCAGUUCCACUAUUGCUACUGUCAUCUCUGUUGGGCAAGAUGAUUUCCUGCAUAGAGGUGGUCCCGUGGGCAAGGUUUCAUGCCAGGCCUCUACAAUGGUUCUUGUUACCGUUCCAGAGGUUGGACAGGGACACGUCGCAGUUCAAGGUCAGGGUCGCGGGGGACAUUCUACUGUCUCUGCACUGGUGGACAUCCAAGAACAUGGAACAGGGCUGCCAUUUUUUGGAAGGGGACCGCAUCACAGUGUCAACGGACGCUAGUCUGACAGGCUGGGGGGCUCAUUGUCUGGACCAGGUGACCCAGGGCUCUUGGUCAAGGUUGGUGACACAGACGAGCAUAAAUUGGCUGGAGAUGAGAGCAACCAGGUUGGCGCUCAAACAUUUCAAGAAUUGUCUGAGGGGUCGACAUGUGCUCCUCAUGAUAGACAACAUCACGGUGAAGGCUCAUGUCAACAGGCAGGGAGGCACUCGAUCCAGGGGGCUCAUGGUGGAGGCAGAUCACCUUUGUCGCUGGGCCGAGCGCGAUGUGGUUUCCAUCAGGGCGGAACACAUUGCGGGGAUAGACAAUGUCAGAGCAGAUUGGUUGAGCAGGGCACCUCUGGAUCUUGCAGAAUGGAAACUGGAUCCAGAGUUGUUCGGGGAGAUAGUGAGGAGAUUUGGACAGCCGGUGAUCGAUCUGUUUGCGUCUCUGGCGAACCAUCAACUUCCUCAUUAUUUCUCCAGGUUCCCAGUGCCAGAAGGGGUCAACGCCCUUCGACUGCCGUGGCCCAGGGGUCUACAAUUGGCUUUCCCUCCGAUAGUCCUCAGGUAAUUGGUCAGAUUCUGCAGACCAGGGUGCAGGUCAUUCUGGUGGCAUCAUAUUGGCCCAGAAGGCUGUGGUUUGCGAAUCUGGUGCGCCUGUCGGUUGCCCCACCACGGAGGAUUCCACCUGACAGGGUGUCUCUCAGUCAGGGGCCGGUCUUUCACCCAGGGCCCCAGUGGUUGCACUUGACCACGUGGCGGUUGAGUGGAGAAUUCUAGAAGGACGGAAUUUCCUCUCAGAAGUGAUAACGACAUUGCAGGCGGCCAGAUGGCCAUCUACUACACGAAUUUAUGACUCCACUUGGAGAACUUUUGUGAUUUGGUGCACUGGUAGGAGUAUUCAGCCAACCAAGGUAAAGCUUCCGCAAUUGUUGCAGUUCUUGCAAGCUGGAUUGAAUAAAGGGCUGGCACCAGCGACAUUACGUAGGCAAGUGGCAGCAAUAGUGUCAGUGUUAGGUUGUGGGGGUAGGUUGUCCGUGACACAACACCCAGAGGUAAGGAGGUUUUUGAGGGGGGGCGACCAACUUGAGACCGGCAGUGGUUCAUCGUUACCCUACCUGGGACCUUCAGAAGGUUUUGCAGGCACUUUCCAAGGCUCCCUUUGAACUUAUUAGGACAGUCCACCUCAGUGUUUUGACCUACAAGACACUGUUUUUGGUAGCCAUCACAUCGGCCCGCAGGGUUUCGGAGCUGGCCGUGCUUUUGGUGCGAGAAGACUUAUAUGUUUUCCACUCCGAUAGAGUGGUUUUGCAUUUGGAUCCGGCCCUUGUGCCAAAGGUCAACUCCUGGUUCCACCAGGCCCAGGAGUUGGGUCUUCCGGAUUUUUGCCCUAAUCCAUCGCACGCAAGGGAGCGUGUUUGGCAUACUCUGGACGUAUGACGGGCUCUGAGGGUUUACAUCAAAAGGACUAGGGAUUUCCGAUAGACGGAGGCCCUUUUUGUGUCAUUUCUACCAUCUACCAUGGGACAGAAGCUUUCCGCUGCAGCGAUGGGCAGGUUGCUCAAAGCCACCAUAGCCAGAGCCUACAAGGCUCAGUCUUUACCAAGGCCUAGGGCUAUUGUGGCAGAUUCAACAAGGAGUGCGGCCAUGUCAACGGCCUGGGCCGCACAAGCAUCGGUGGAGGUGAUCUGCAGGGCUUUUGGCGGCUUUUGGUCGGAGAGUUCUACAGCAUGUGGUAGAGAUGCCUGAAGGACAUGACCAGACGGCUUCCCACCCAUGAGGACUGACAGCUUGGUGACCUACACAAGUGCUUUGGUGUGAUAUUGUGCAGUUAGUCUGUCGUGCCUGGUGUGCCUGGCGGCCUGGGGCUGCCAUUUCGGUGGGGAACCAAGAAGCCGGGAUUGCCUUUUAUUUGGGGACCGGAAAAUGACACAGCCACUGUGAUGCUAAACCCACCGAACCGCAGAGCCCACACCAGACCUGUCACCACUGCUGACAUCAACACUGAACAGCUGUUGGGCGGCCAAGUGGCUGAAACAAAGAUGGACACUUGUGUGAAUGCGCACUGAGUGUGACUGACAAUGGAACUCUGCUGGCCUCCCUGCUCCAUUUCUACUGACUCGGCUUAGGGAAGAAUAGAGGGUGGGGUGAGUGCAUGGGUGGCUGGGCAGGGCUAGGGAACAGUUUAAAACGGUGGAACAGUUACUGGACGGUUAGUCCUGACUUUGAAUUUCCUGUUGAUGGAUGUCAGUUCAUGCUGGUGUUUGUGAGGGAGAUUAAAAAAUACUCAAUUCGGAACUGCGUUUUGGUUUUUUUCCCCCUUAAGUUUACAUCGGAACCUGACAGGACGUCAGGACUCACCAUUUAAUUAAACAUAUGGCAGAGGAAACGGAGCCAAGCCUGGAGGCUGCAGACUUGGUGGAAACUAUGGAGCCAACGAAACCUGCCCCUCUGGAGAUCUUACUGGUGCCUUCAGAAGAUCCUUCCCAGGACAUCCGGACCAAGGAACAUCCAGGUCCCAAAAAACCCCUAGUCAGUUGGGAGGCCUCAGAAAUCUUCCAGGGUAUAGGCCCAAAAACCGGGCGAACAGGAGAGUGGUGGCUGAGUUCCUCGGGGCCUGUGGGAUAUGGGACCCCUCUAUCCCCGUUAUUCCCUCCAGGAGCCAUUUCACCCAGUGAAAGGAGCGAUGUAUCUUUGAGGGUGAAUGGAGUCUCUCCACAGCAGUAAGCAGCCCAACAGUGGAAGUACUGAGAGAAAAAUUUGGAGCUGCUAGCAUCAGAGAGCAGAGUCCUAAGAGAGGAUGAAAUGGGAAAUGGGGAAGGAGAGGUGAACCGCCCUCCUCUUGAGCAAGGGCUUCAGAACGCUUUCGAUUUGGUUAGCCCAAACCCACACUAUGAAAGGCCUGGACAGUUAGGGAGGUAGAGCAGAGACCGCACCUACUAUCCAGCUUCCCUGUGAAGAGUGAAGAGAUGGGCAGGCUGUUAAAAUAUGAGAGCCAAACCUCAACACUUUCCUGGCCUGCGGCAGUGCAUGACCAAAGAUCAUUAAGCCCUUGGGACCCACCGGCCCUGUGAGUGUCCUUUGAUGGUAGUCCAGAUAAAGUGGCUCUCUUUUUGGGCCAGGUGCUCAAUCACAUGGAC